UUUUUUCCGUUAGGGAUUGAUACGGCAUCCUUUUUUUUUAUUUCUAAAAAAAAGAUAUAGUGGAAAGCCCGACCUUUG
Molecule: small RNA, 78 nt
Filed under: Lacinutrix sp. 5H-3-7-4
Lineage: Bacteria; Pseudomonadati; Bacteroidota; Flavobacteriia; Flavobacteriales; Flavobacteriaceae
Description: Flavo-1 RNA
Rfam family: Flavo-1 RNA
Source: Rfam by way of RNAcentral